RNAcentral lists this non-coding RNA (961 nucleotides) under Pan troglodytes (chimpanzee). Lineage: Eukaryota; Metazoa; Chordata; Mammalia; Primates; Hominidae. The record is from RNAcentral.
UGGGCUAAGCCAGACCAGAAAGGGCCCCGUGCGCAACGUGCUUCACAGUCUCUCAGGGAAAGCGGCUAACGUGGCGCUACUCCGCCUGCCCUGUUCCUUACCCUGGGGGCUGCCGCCAUGUUUCCUGAACACAAAAUGGCGACACGUGAGGAAGACAAACAUAAAGAUGAAGUGCUUAAUUCAAGGUCACACAAUGUCGGGGAUGGACCUCCAGAUUUCCUUACUGGUGAGACGUGGUCUUGUAACACAGUGGUUAAGAAUGUGACUUUGGAGCCAGCCUGCUAGGGGCUGAAUUCUGACUCAGCCAUUUACUAACUGUGUGACCUUAGGUGGAGUCUCACUCUGUAGCCCAAGCUGGAGUGGUGUGAUCUCGACUCACUGCAACCUCCGCCUCCUGGGCUCAAGUGAUUCUCGUGCCUCAGCCUCCUGAGUAGCUGGGACUACAGAGAUGAGAUUUCACCAUAUUACCCAGGCUGUUCUUGAACUCCUAGGCUCAAGUGAUUUGUCUGCCUCGGCCUCCCAAAGUGUUGGGAUUACAGGUCACAGAAUUUUCCACACUCCUUGACGGAGGUGCUUAACCCUUAUCCAUCAGCAUUCUCAGACAGCACCUCCGGUUAGGGACAGUAUCUGACCGUCCGACAUCCCUGCAGCCCCCAUGUGUCACACAGACUCAGCCUCAGGUAGAUGGUUUCCGUAGAUGGUGGCUUUCUUUGGACCCUUGACAUCAACCAGUUACUAUUUGGGGACCAGAUGUGCAGAGGUAAUGAAUACCAGGGAAUCAGGAAACCACUGGAUCAGUUCUUUGAGCCACAGAACAACACUCAUCCCAGCAGCUGGGAAGCUAUCUGCAAAAGUCCAUCUGCAGAAAGGGCUUCCUGGUCUUGCGUGUGGCUGGGCCAUUUCUCUGGAUGCAGGUUUUUCAUUAUACAGUCUUCUCAAAGAAACACCUGCUCUCAACACC